RNAcentral lists this ribosomal RNA (484 nucleotides) under uncultured bacterium. RNAcentral's name for it is "partial 16S ribosomal RNA". It matches the Rfam family "Bacterial small subunit ribosomal RNA", at positions 30 to 507 of the family's 1533-position model. The record is from RNAcentral.
AGUGAACGCUGGCGGCAGGCCUAACACAUGCAAGUCGAGCGGCAGCGGGUCCUUCGGGAUGCCGGCGCGCGGCGGAAGGGUGAGGAAUACAUCGGAAUCUGCUCUGUCGUGGGGGAUAACCACGGGAAACUUCUGCUACUACUGCAUACGACCUACGGGUGCAACCGGGGGAUGGCAAGACCUCGCGCGCCAGGAUGAGCCGAUGUCCGAUUAGCUAGUUGGCGGGGUAAAGGCCCACCAAGGCGACGAUCGGUAGCUGGUCUGAGAGGAUGAUCAGCCACACUGGGACGGAGACACGGCCCAGACUACUACGGGAGGCAGCAGUGGGGAAUAUUGGACAAUGGGCGCAAGCCUGAUCCAACCAGGCCGCGUGGGUGAAGAAGGCCUUCGGGUUGUAAAGCCCGUUUGUCCGGGAAGAAAUCGUCUGGGCUAAUACCCCGGGCGGAUGACGGUACCGGAAGAAGAAGCACCGGCUAACUUCGUG